CGGGUAGCUCAGCUUGGUAGAGCGCUCGUUUCGGGUGCGAGAGGUUCGCGAGUUCAAGUCUCGCCACCCCGACCA
Molecule: transfer RNA, 75 nt
Filed under: Armatimonadota bacterium
Lineage: Bacteria; Bacillati; Armatimonadota
Description: Armatimonadetes bacterium (fermentation metagenome) tRNA-Pro
Rfam family: tRNA
About the family: Transfer RNA (tRNA) molecules are approximately 80 nucleotides in length. Their secondary structure includes four short double-helical elements and three loops (D, anti-codon, and T loops).
Source: RNAcentral